CCAAUAGCGUAUAUUAAAGUUGUUGCAGUUAAAAAGCUCGUAGUUGAACUUCGGGGUUCACCCAUUGGUCAGGCUUAAUUGUCCGUACUGGUGAGAUGAGUCUCUACCUUCUGAGGAACUUUCAUGCCAUUUGUUUGGUGUGAUGGGAAAUCAGGACUGUUACUUUGAAAAAAUUAGAGUGUUUAAAGCAGGCUAACGUCUGAAUACAUUAGCAUGGAAUAAUGAAAUAGGACGGAUUGAUUCUAUUUCGUUGGUUUCUAGGGUCACCGUAAUGAUUAAUAGGGAUAGUUGGGGGCAUUAGUAUUCAAUUGUCAGAGGUGAAAUUCUUGGAUUUAUUGAAGACUAACUACUGCGAAAGCAUUUGCCAAGGAUGUUUUCAUUAAUCAAGAACGAAAGUUAGGGGAUCGAAGACGAUCAGAUACCGUCGUAGUCUUAACCAUAAACUAUGCCGACUAGGGAUCGGACGAAGUUAAUUUUAUAAUGACGCGUUCGGCACCUUACG
Molecule: ribosomal RNA, 502 nt
Filed under: uncultured Glomeromycotina
Lineage: Eukaryota; Fungi; Glomeromycota
Description: partial small subunit ribosomal RNA
Rfam family: Eukaryotic small subunit ribosomal RNA
Source: RNAcentral